This 77-nucleotide transfer RNA is filed under the name Candidatus Equadaptatus faecalis. RNAcentral's name for it is "tRNA-Gln". It matches the Rfam family "tRNA". Rfam says of the family: Transfer RNA (tRNA) molecules are approximately 80 nucleotides in length. Their secondary structure includes four short double-helical elements and three loops (D, anti-codon, and T loops). Lineage: Bacteria; Thermotogati; Synergistota; Synergistia; Synergistales; Synergistaceae. The record is from RNAcentral.
UGGGGUAUAGCCCAGGUAGGUUAAGGCGGCGGACUUUGACUCCGUUUACGAUGGUUCGAAUCCAUCUACCCCAGCCA